This is a long non-coding RNA of Helianthus annuus (common sunflower), 479 nucleotides long. RefSeq lists it as uncharacterized. The record is from RefSeq and is a predicted model, not a curated record. The transcript is spliced from 3 exons. NCBI's taxonomy places the organism in Eukaryota, Viridiplantae, Streptophyta, Magnoliopsida, Asterales, Asteraceae.
UCGAUCAAGAAGAGGAGAAACAAGGGUUUACCCUUGUUCUUGCAAAACUCAUCAAUUAACAAAGGAAUUCAAUGUUAAUCGGCUGCAUGUAUUAAAUUUUCGAUCUACUAAGCAUACCUAGUGAAGUGGCGUGAAAGAAGAAGGCCCAAACACUAAGAAGACGGGAGACUCACAAGAUCGAGGUAAAUCCUUAAUGUAGGCGACUUGGCAAAUUGGAGCGAGCAUAUGCACACUUUAUGAACAUCAAGCGCUUCCGCUAUUAUGUAUUAAUGUUUUGGGUCAAAUGUCCGUUUUUGGUAUAACAUUGUUAGUAGUUACACUUGUUAAUACUUGGUGUAUGGUCUUAGUCAUGUCUAGUCGAACGGGUCGUAAACUUGUUUGUUUGUUGAUGGUUAAUACAGGGAUACACUCGACUUGCGGACGGGUCAUGCCCAAUUUUCGUUAAAAUCAUGUGUUAAUGAUAUUAGCGUUUUUACCUU